This 324-nucleotide ribosomal RNA is filed under the name uncultured eukaryote. RNAcentral's name for it is "partial 18S ribosomal RNA". It matches the Rfam family "Eukaryotic small subunit ribosomal RNA", at positions 1470 to 1796 of the family's 1831-position model. The record is from RNAcentral.
CCCUUAGAUGCUCUGGGCCGCACGCGCGCUACACUGGUCGAUGCAACGAGUUUCUUUCCUUGGCCGACAGGCCUGGGCAAUCUUUGAACAUCGAUCGUGAUCGGGAUAGAUUCUUGUAAUUUUUGAUCUUAAACGAGGAAUUCCUAGUAAACGCAAGUCAUCAGCUUGCAUUGAUUACGUCCCUGCCCUUUGUACACACCGCCCGUCGCACCUACCGAUUGAAUGGUCCGGUGAAAUCUCCGGACUGGCGUGAGUCGGAGCAAUCUGACAAACACCGGAAAGUUGAUUAAACCUUACCAUGUAGAGGAAGGUGAAGUCGUAACA